This 10721-nucleotide unclassified non-coding RNA is filed under the name Leishmania donovani. Its description in RNAcentral is "gene:LdHU3.31.2230(CDS-product:'Cold-shock'_DNA-b inding_domain_containing_protein-_putative)". Lineage: Eukaryota; Euglenozoa; Kinetoplastea; Trypanosomatida; Trypanosomatidae. The record is from RNAcentral.
AAAGCUUCGAUCUACUAUUUCACGCACCUCCAGCGUCCUUGGCGUUAUCUAUCCAGCCUCACGCCUCUGUGACUUACCAUCUUUUCGCGGCGUACUUCAUGGCAACAUCAACUACGAAAACAGACUUGCAUUGCUUAAGCUCGGCUGCCUCCAGCACACCGCUGCCGUCUACUCAGUCUCUACUACAACGUUAAAGCGUGGAUAGCAACGAGCUGCACCACAAGCAUGUUUCACGCCGUCUACAGUAACCCGGUGACAAGCGUCCCGGCCUCGAACCGCAUGAUUGCUGGCCCUCAGCCUCUGCCGCCACAGCUGCUGCACAGCUCAGGCAGCCAGAUGAUGCGUGACUGCCCUCUCUCGUUGAAUGACGGGCGGACGGUGAUAUACUGCGUACCGGCGAAGAACGAAGCGAGCCUGCAGCAGGUCUCAUACUUUCGCACAUUAGGGCAGCGCUGGUCGUCCGCUCCCGCCGACAACACUGCCCAGCGCACCGCGGAAACCCACAGCACCGUAUGCUUUGCUUCUUGUGCGAGCGGCGCGAAUGGGGGCGCCGGCGGAUCCCCUGUACUGCUUCAGCCGGCCAUGGGUCUUCCGGCGUUUGUGACCGACAAGCAGCAGCUCCCGUCCAUGGUGGCCCAGCCCUCCCCCACGCUGUCGCGGUUGACCAGCGGCCUGUGCUCGACGAGUGAGGGUACGACCACCUUUGGCGCUUCGACCACGAGCGUCACGAGCUCGACUGUGGGCAGCGGCGCUGCCACCGGCACGGCAGCCACCACGAACGGCUCCAUGUCUCACACGAGCACUUCACCUGGGUUGCCAGGCUUCCAGAUGUCUGUGUCGCUUCCAACUAGCGCCAUAACCGCCGUGGCUGCACCGCCACAGCAGCCGCAGACAUGCUUCUGGCUGAGCCACACUACGGGUGCCCUGACGCCUAUCCGGAAAGAGGAUAUGAUGACUAUCAGCGAUACGAGUGCGAGUACAAGCACGCAUUCGUACGCUAUGCCGCCACCGCCGCCGAUGCCGUCGCAGUCCUCCUCGGUCUCGGCCACUUCAGUUCCUACUUACCUGAUGGCGCCGCAGGUGUCCCCCUUCGGCGGGGCCAUGGUGCAGGCCUUCUCCGAGUCGCUCUCCGGCUCCACAGCGUUUUCGGUGCCUGCUAUGCCGCUGCCGCAGCCGCCACGGCCGCCGAAGACGUUGAAUGGUUUGCAGUACCAGCUGGGUGAGCUGUAUGAGGGCUUCGUGAAGCGCUACAACCCCAACCGCGGUUUCGGCUUCCUGACGGCGACGGCUCACGUUACAAUGGCUAAUGAUGGCUCCAACAGCGAUAGUGUGACAGGCACGCCUAUCGCCUCUCUGAACGCCACCACCACUGCGGUCCCCACAACGAGAGAAGCGGAGACCCCUAAGGAGCACCGCACGCCGGUGCACCUCGGUGACAUUUUCGUGCACCAGUCGUCCAUGCAGAUGGAGGGCUUCCGCACGCUGCCCGUUGGCGGCCGUGUGCGCUUCCGUAUCGGUUACAAAGACGGCCAGCAGACGCUCCAGGCGGUCAGUGUAGAGUUACUGCCGCAGGUGCUGCCGCCCAAUGUAGAGAUGGCGUCGUCGGCAUCGUCAACACAGCAAACGGCAGCUGCAGUGCCCAAUCAAAAGACAGAGAGCAUGGCGUCUUGGUCGCAGGCGGCGCCGCCUUCUAUCUGUGCCGGUGACAGCUCCGUGAACGCGCGACGCUUGGAGGGAUGCGCCAUCAACUUCGCCUCCGAGGACGAUGGUGAUCACAAGGACGACGAGCCGCUCAUAGAGCUGGCCUACGAUAUGUACGCCAGCUUCGAAUGAAGUGUCCGGUGUGCGUCUGUGAGCCUUAUCCUCGCGAACCAUACGUUGCGCAGCGGGAGAAGAAUUUGACAGUACGUGCUUGGUGCGGAACGCUGUGUCCCUCACGCUCGCACUCACUUGCUUAUCUCACAUAACUCGCGCGCUAUCCAGCUAAAGUUCUUCUCCUCGACUCUAUGGUCGUUUUUGUCAUGCGAAGUACAGCGCACCUCCGCGAAUGUGGCUCUCUCGCGCAAACCGGCUUGCAUUUUCCGCUCAAUUCGGAUACUCGACGCGUGUGUGUGUGCAUGUGUGGGUGUGCAUGUGCAUUGAAUUGUUUUUUUUAUGUUACGACUGCGCAUUUUCUUCCGUCUUUUCUUUUUCGUUUCUCUUUCGAAAUGAUCCAGUAACGUUUUCGUUUUUUUUGUUGUCGUUCAUCUCUGUGUCGGCUACACGCACGCACAGACACGACAAGAGGGAGAGAGACAGAUCAGCGAAAGAGAACGGGAAUGCACGAGGGCCAUGAAAAACAGAGGGAUCUCUUUUUUCUUCAUCGUCGACGCGGAGGAUAUAGAGCAAAACAAGAAGUGGGUAGAGCUCCCAGAGACGGCGGCUUAUGCUUCAUUCAUCAUCUCUAUAGGCAAAACAACCCCCUGUCCUCUAUCGCACUCCUUCCUACUCACUGUCCCCAUGUGCCUCGCUCGCUCGCUCGCUGUCUGUCUCCCUGUCUCUCUCUCUGUGUUGCUGCUGCACGUGUGUCUGCAUUUCUUCGCGUCUCUUUGCAUGCGUCUUGGCUUUUUUGUGUUUUCUUCUUUCUUAUCUUUCGCCGUUUAUCUCUCACUCGUAUUUUUUUGUUGCGUUUUCGGUUCUUCCUUGCACACCGACAUACACACGCACACACGUGUCCUUCCUCCCUCUACAGCAGACAUGAAAACGAGACGAGGCAACGGCCGCUAUGCGAGGGGAGAGAGAGGACGAAAAAAAGGCAAAAAGGAAGAGAGAGAGAUGCGCUCAGAAGGCUUUUCUUCCUUUUUGCGGUUUCCUGUUAUCAUCGUGAUUUUGGAUGUCCGUUUCUUUUUUCUUUUUUUUCCUUUCCUUCUUUCUCGUCUCUCUUUAUCUUCUUGCCAUCUUUUCCUUCCUUCUUCCGCGUGCAUGUUCUCCUCUUGCCGCUCUCGCCCUCCGGGCAGCUCUGCGUGCUGGCCACAUUGUGUGUCUCUCUUCUCUUGCGCUGCCGUUCGCCCCCCUCCCUUUCCGUAGUUUAUGUUUUUUUUUUUUUCUGUUCUUUGGGUGCGUGCUGUCUCGCCUUUGCCAUCUGUCUCACUCUCGCUCUCUCCCUCAAAGGCCCACCGCUGCUGUGCGCACAUGCACCUCCGACAUUUCUAAUCCUUUUUUUUAUAUUUUAUUAUUUUUUUUUUAUUUUUGGUCUGUUUUUAUGUUCAUUUCAGAGCGCUGCACAGCACAUAGCGAUAGCAGAAAAGGUCACACGAAGCAGAACAACAGCCAACAAAAAAGGGCCAGAGAAGAUAUCGAAUGUGCCACAUUCCGAACAAACUAGCUCAACGAGAGAAAAUAACGCACAACGCUUGUGUGCGUGAUGUGACGCAUGCGCUGUCAUUUUCUUUUUUGCUUCUUAUUUUCCACUGCACCGGAUUGACGAUGUCUUGCUCUCUCUCCUUAUGGAGUGCCAUACACGUUGUUGUUCUUUCUGGUAUCCUCCUCUGCGUCAUGUGCGGGUUUCUGCGGCAAAAGACGCAGCAGAUACGCACAGAGAGGCACAGAGGCGCCCGUAAGAGAGACAGGAAAGGGCGCCGGCUAAGCUAGAGCGUUUUUUUUUUGUUUUCGCCCUUCAUGACCCCCCUCCCCGCACACACACUCCGCGCUUUUCUGAAACCUCACGACUCCCUCCUCGGCAAAGGAAACGUAUGGGUUCAAAACAAGGAAAAGGUAAAGCAAGAAGCAAAAUGAAACCGCCGCAAACAUCAGCAGUGACUGAUCGAUAUGUGUACACCUAUCGGAGAAAAAAACAAGUCACGCUGCAUGUUUCGUCUUCAGUUUCGUUAUGCAAAUGAAUGAAUAAAUAUCUAUAUCUAUAUAUAUAUAUAUAUAUAUAUAUGUGUUGUGCCUCAUACGGAAUGGUGUGCGAGGACACCUUACAAGCUCAUCGAGUGUGCCCCUCCCUGCUUCCCCCCCGCACACAGACAGUGAACGGCAUUGCUUUUUCCUUUCCCCCUUUUUUUGCAGUGUAACACUCGCUUCCAAGACUCAGGCGAGAGAGAGGGAGAUGAGAUAACAAAAAGGGCAUCAACGCAUUGUUUUCUCAAGCCCCUUCGCGCUCAUCAUCUGUGCUCUCCGUCACUCUUCCACGCCCCCUUUUCUGAGAACACGCGUUGUUGUGAGCCAUGCCGCUGUGUGUAACCGACCCUCUGCCUUUUCUCUCUGGAAUGGAAAAGGCGACAACGGUGAUGCGGCCUGCUCGCUCGCUACAAACUUCUCCAAGGCUGGAAGAGGGCGACACAUAAUAAUAACAAAGAAAACGUUCAAAAGGGAUACAUUCCUUGCCUUUUCUUGUAUAUCGACUCACUCAUCCUUUUUUUUGUUGUUGCUUGCUUGUUUUUCUGUUUUGGUUUCGUUUUUGCUUCUUUCUUUGCCCAUGCUUGUGUCUCUUGCAUGCCCUUCUUUUUUCGCUCCCUUUUCUUCCGCCCUCCUCCCCCCUUCUUCCCAUGUUAGAGCGUUAGGGUACCGCACAAGGUACAAAAAAAAAUACAGCACUUGCUUGAUCCUCUCCCUUCUUCCGUGUCCGGAUUCUUUCCGAGAUUGCCACGGCGCCUCCCAUCUUUUUUUUUUCUGUGUUGUUUUUGUUCUCAUGUCAGUUUGGCUUCUCGCUUCCCUCUUUACUGUUGGUUUAAGCACUUUCCGAUUUCAUUCUACUCCCUCUCCUGUUGUUGUUUUUCGUUUUCAUAUCUCUCGCGCCCGUUUAUUGUCCUGCUUUGCCUUCAUUAGAGCCGUCUGAGAAGAAGGGGAAAGGCGGGACCGUUGUGGGUUCGGGAUCUUCGCCUGCCUAGAUGAUAUGCCUCCCUCUCUGUACCUUUCUCCUCCACAGUUCCUCCUCCCCCUAAAAAAUAUAAAAAAAAACGGUGCAGAAUCAUCUUGAUUGUUCUCUCGUGUAUGACUGUGGGCGGCCUGAGCUUUCUCGAUGCUGCCCUGCUCGUCUUCCUUUCUGUUGCCCCUCCUUUUCCUUCGGUGCGUCAGAAGAGGCGCUCAUACGCCCUUCCUCUUGCCUCCCCCUCUCUGUCUCCUAGACUUAGGCGCAUACAUAUAUAUAUAUGUAUACAUGUACAUGUGUGCGUGUAUAUAUGCAUAUACUUAGGCUGUCUGGGAGUAUCAGUGUCUGUAUCGACCUCUCUUUUUCUACCUGAUAUAUAUGUAUAUAUCGAUGACGUGCUUCUACCGGCAUCCAUGUGGGCGGUGUUUCAUGUGUGCGCGUGUUUUUUUUUUCGUUGACGUCAUGGCCACGUACACGUGAUACCAGCAACCAGCAUCCACGUGUUUGAGGUUUGAGGGGGCAAACGCAACAAAUACAUAGAAUUCAAGCGAGGCAGAGGGAGGAUCGUGCGAGUGGCAUGGACGAAAACGAAAGAUACCUUGGUGAGCGCUUGAAGAGAGAAGUAUGAGAUUACUGUGCCAGAUUUCCGUGUGCCUGUGCUCUUCGAGGUAACCUUACACAUCCAUGAGUCUUUCUUGCUGUUGUUGCCUGCUGUGCCCAGUUUCUCUUCCUCAAGGUGAAGUUAAGUAUGCUCUUCACUACCCCCUUCUUGAGCACAAGAGCAGCCAUUCUUGUCUUUUUCUUUUGAUUAUUAUUUUUUGUUUUCGCUUCUGUCGCCGCUUCUGUUUUUUUUUUCUAACUGUUUUCUUUUUUUUUGCGUGUUUUCUUGCCACUUAUCACGUAUGCUUGCCCCCUUGUUUCCCUUCCUCUCCCUCCAUCGGACGUGAGUCCAGAUAGGUGUCCCUCUCUCCAUCCUGCUUCGACCGUCGCUGGAUCGCGGACAGUUCGGCAGAUACGGAGGUACGCCCGAAAUGUAUCUCACUUCCCUUCACAACGGCUGGGUAGCUCUCUCACCCCACUCAGCAUCUGUACCGCCCAAGCUCUCAACAGCGGGUCACAAAAGAAGACAAGCUCGAAAGGGCACACUUUAAACUCCUGCUGUACCUGGAGCAGCCGUGCGUACCACGUGCACAACGCACAGCAGAGAGGGACUCGCAUGAUUCGAGCAGAAGAAACGUAUGUGAAGUGUAUGCGGGCUCGGUCACGCAGCACCCGACUAUGUGUCUCUGCCCCUCUGUGGCUCUCUUGUGUCUGAUGUAGUAGCAUUUGGUUUUUUUUCUAUUUUUGUCUCGUUGCUCUCCGAGUUUGUUUUCUCUUAUUAUUAUUCAGCGCUUCUUCUCCCGUGGUUGGCCGUCUCUCCUCUCUUCUCUAUACGCUCCUGCUUGCGUGCGAAGGCCUUCAUCUGCCUCCCGGUCUCCCUUUUUUGUUGUUGUUUUGCAUUGUUUCUUCGCGCUGUUCGGCCCUACGUUUCUUUUUUUUCUUUUGCUCUCCUUCAAACUCGAGGCCCCCUUCUAUCUUUUUUUCUGACGAUCUUCGUGUGCUUCGGCUCCUCCACAUCCUCUCUCUCACCACACACACACACACACACACACACACACACAACAUGCCUCACAAACCUUCCUCUUGCUGAAAAUUAUUCGCACACAUACACAUGUCGCAGCUCUUCGUGAAAGAGGGAGCCUCAUGGGGCCUCUCGGUGAGGUCUGUGCACCUGUCUAUGUUUUGCCUCUCUCUUGUAGCGCCAUCUUUACCGAUUGGUCUAUGCGUUUCUCUUUUUUUUUCGUUGUUGUUGUUGUGGUUGUGGUUUUGACAUGUACUUUUUUUGCCGUCCUCCCUCCCCCACCCCUCUUUUUUUUUUCGUACGGCUGGCGACUUUUCCGUCCGAUCCCCCUCCGUCAGCGUGCACUUCUCUUUGAUCCGAUGGUAUCAUUUGUUUUUUUCGCGUCUUCUUUAAACCCUCGCGUGUGCUCCGUCUCUCUCUUCUUUUUUUUUCGUUGCCUUUUUUGUUACGGAUCUGUGCCUCGACGACACAGUGCUCUCUCACUCUUUCCACCGUGCCCCUGUUUCCCGUUUUCCUCUGUCCCCUACAUAUAUAUAUAUAUAUACUCGUAUGUUUUCGAUCUUUUUGUUGUGGUUGUUUCUUUGGGUAUUUGUCUCUCCUCCUCUUGAUUCCUUUUUUUUUUCGCGGUGUUGGCUUGUGGAAACUCGCGAAGGACUCAAGUACUUCAUCGUGCUGCUCUGUGCUCCCUCAACCCUCCUAUCCGUGCUCGUCUCAGUCGUGACUUGCAUAUAUACAUAUGACCCUCUGUUUUUUUGCAGAUUCUACGCGAACCUGUGCCUUGCAUGGCUAUCGAUGCUGUUAUUGGUGUUUUCUUCGCCGUUUUUCUUGUCACUUUUUCUGUUUUUUUUUUGUUUGUUUUUACACUCUUACACUGGUUUCUCUAUCUAUAUACGUAUUUAUUUUUAUAUGCAUUGAUCGUUGCACUGCUGUCGAUGCCCACAACCCUCCCUUCCUCCUCCGCCACUGCUGUCAAGAGCCUGGCAUGACAUCAGGGCCGCGCCGGGUGUCUUGCAACAAAAUGCGCGCAUGCGUGCUGGAAAGUAGUUUUUUUUUUCCGGUGUUGUUAUCGUAACGUGGCAGUCCAAAAUAUCGUGUGUGCAUACGCCUAUCAGUUGGUGAGCUGAUGGAGAAGAGAGCAAGGCCCUUGGCGUUGACGGGCAGUCACACACAGCAACACCAAAGAAAAACAAAGACGGUGUCUAUUAUGCUAGUGGUCGCGGCCGCUUCUUCUGCUGCAUGGAGGCUUGUCACGGUGACUUUUAUAUGUUUUCUCCUCAUUAUUAUUUUCUUCGUUGGGGCCCUCUUUCAGCGGUUCUUUGGCCCGUGUGACCUGACUCUCUCACUGCCCCUCUACAUGCCUGGUCCCUGCGCAUACGCUAGCGUCGUGGUAGGGUGGGUGCGUUAUUCUCUGUAUGAGCAUCAUAAACGCAGUUGAUUCCGAUGGCAGCAGCCCAUGAAGCGCCCUUCAACCCUUUCUUCCUCUCUCUUUGUGUACUGCCCAAGCCCUGAUAGCGGGUUUUGACUGACCGGGUGUGAGAGUCAACGCGAAUUACGACACGAUUACUAUGGGCUGUAGUGAUGGCGACAGCAACCCGUCAUUCACGCAUAUGUAGUGGUUCAAGUGACAACUUGCAGCGGACACAUAUCUCAGGCAUGCAUUUUUUUUUCUGGCCGGCUACUCUCUCCCUGUCUCUCUGCACAGUAUUGUGUGUGCUUCGCCCAAUUCUCUGCUCGAAAAGGAGCCCAGUCAAGCGCCGCAAGAGCGAAAACGAAACGAACAGGCACAGGCAAGAUGGACGUACGCGCCGAUCCUUGCCAUGGGCCUCUCGUGUCUCCUCUCAUCAUGCUUGGGAGUGCGAGAUCUGCGUUUGUGGGUUCUUUUCUGUCGGCUUGUUUCUGCUCAGCUGCUGCCCACGCACUCCCUUCUGUCCACACGCGUUUCUGUCGUUACACACACACACACACGCAUAUAUAUAUAUACAUGUCCAUCUGUAUCUAUAUUUUUCUUGUCGCAUAUAUAUAUAUAUAUAAUAUAGCAAUAUAAACAAAAAUACCUCUGUCUAUUUUUUUGUUUGUGACUGUUCGCUGUUCUUCCUUCCUGUAUGUAUAAAUAUGUCUAUAUAUAGAUAUAUUCACGCUCAGCAAUCUGCUUUUUUCCCUCUCCGCCUUUUUUUUGUUGUGUGCUUUUCGUUGUGCCUUGGGUUUCUUUCCGCUCCCUUAGACAGUUCACGACAGCACCGACAGGCACACGGAUGCGAACAGCUGCACACUCGCCCAUUGUGAUGGCUACGCGGUGCAUCACUGCGCUGGUCCCUUCGUUUGCUGGUGGUUUCUGUCUUUUCGUGCUUUUUUUCCUUGGGGAGGGGGAGCACAGGCUCCCGUCCUUCCUGCGCGUUACGAUUUGGUGCCGACUCUUGAACGAGAGCAGAGCAAGUAUCACAUGAACACAACAGCUUCUCUAAGCCUCCUCAUCUUUCAUGUCGUUGCAGCUUCCGCACUGCUUUUUGUUCAAUUGUUGCCCUUCUGCUUGUUCUCGUCGCUGCUCACGUAGUACACCGAGAGAGCUGCAGGCCCUCUUUUUUUCUUUUUUGAUCGUUUGCUUGGCCUUUGCUUUCCGCUCUCUCUCUCUCUCCUCCUAUGGUGAGGGACUCUCUCAGAGCAUUGCUGGACUGCGUGAUGUUGGCUUCUCGUGAUCCUCUUGCUUCUUUUUUUUUUGGUUGUUUGGUGACUUGACGCCCUCGUCUCCUGUGCAACCGCUGCUCGCUGCGCUGGCACUGGCGCGAUGAUAUCCUCUUUCUACUCUUGUAUGCGGCUGUAGAUGGUCGUCACUUCUUUCUGCGUGGUCCUCUCUUUAUCCAUUUAUUGUUGCCCGUUCGCGAUGCUCGUGUGACUUUGACAGACUUGUCUUGUGCCAUUCAUCUUGACUGGUGAGUGCGUGCGCUUUUUCAUCCCGUUCCUUCCCCGUCUUCCUCUGGCUGUUGCAGUCGCCGUCUCUACGUUGGCUGCUCCUUGAUUCGCCAUCACCGAAGAGCAUGGCUGUCAGGGCCCUCUUCCUCUUCCCUGUGCUCCGCGUGCGCGACGUCGGCAAGGGGAACAGCCACAACCACAGGGCAGGAAGACUCUCCUCGUCUUUGUCUUUAUGCUCUCCCUCCCUCACAAUUUUGUUUUUACUCUUCUGCGGCCGGCAUCUGCCUUGAUACUUCGUUACGUUUUCGUUCUUUUCUCUCUUAAAACAGAAUAAAUCGUUUCUUUUUUUUUCGCUGGUCUCAUUUUUCAUCUUCGCCUGUUCACCGUGUUACGCUAUGCUGCUGCGCGUCUUCUCACGGCGCUCGCUCUCGCUCGUUCUUUCUGCGUGCGCCCUUCCUUUUUUUUCUCCCCUCGUACCUUUUCGGCUUUGUAGUGACGUCUGUUGUCUCAUUUCGCUUUCUUGUAAGCGACGCAUCCGUGAUUUUCUUCGUCUUUACUUGCUCGCUGGGAUUCCCUCCACCCCUCCCCCCUCACUCCGUCUUUGUCGACUUCGUCUCUCGUGGCGGCGCGUUUAUUUUCACCUCGUUCUUCUCAUCGGGUGCGUUUCCCCAUGACCUUCGUAACCCUACCCCACAAGCCUAAGCGUCUCUCCUCUCUCUUUUUUUGUUGGAGAGGGGGAGAGGGGAGGGGAGAAGAGUGAAGGGGGCUUGUAUGUGUGCGUGCGUGUGUGAGACUCUGCACUUGCCUUCCUUUCUCCUCUCAAACAACCGUCAUCGUAUCUGUUCUGCGUUCUUGUGUUGGUUUUUUAUGACGUUUUUCGAAAUCCCUUAGGCGGCUCCAUGGCUUCGCUUUUCCGUUCUACGGUGCAAAAAAGAGGAAACGCCGAGGAGCGGCCAGACAACGUUAAGGAUCCAUUAAAGAACCAACAAAGAGCCGAAACAAUAAUAGUAAUAGCACGUCUGCCGGCCUUCCGCAACGCAGACGAAAAAAAAAGCAAAAAAAAAAAGGAACGGAUCGAGUGAGAUUGAGAGAGUGAAACGAACCUCGACAAUAUCUAAAACAGCUUAAGCACAACGGAGAGUAAAACGCGCCGUUCGCCGGCAACGUGUGCGGUCUUGACAUGCGCUGUGCGCCGCUUUUUUGUUGUUUGUGUGAGUGAGUGUGCCUUCUCGUAAGCGCGCCAUGAUGGGCGACAUCUUAAAUCUCCUUUUAGUUGAGGUCUUUCAUCACUCUCGUCCACUUUCUGUUGUUUGUACCCCUUCGCAUCUAUUUUUUUUUCAG